RNAcentral lists this ribosomal RNA (727 nucleotides) under Leuconostoc lactis. Its description in RNAcentral is "bacterial SSU rRNA". It matches the Rfam family "Bacterial small subunit ribosomal RNA", at positions 49 to 758 of the family's 1533-position model. The record is from RNAcentral. Lineage: Bacteria; Bacillati; Bacillota; Bacilli; Lactobacillales; Lactobacillaceae.
UAAUACAUGCAAGUCGAACGCGCAGCGAAAGGUGCUUGCACCUUUCAAGCGAGUGGCGAACGGGUGAGUAACACGUGGAUAACCUGCCUCAAGGCUGGGGAUAACAUUUGGAAACAGAUGCUAAUACCGAAUAAAACUUAGUAUCGCAUGAUACAAAGUUGAAAGGCGCUACGGCGUCACCUAGAGAUGGGUCCGCGGUGCAUUAGUUAGUUGGUGGGGUAAAGGCCUACCAAGACAAUGAUGCAUAGCCGAGUUGAGAGACUGAUCGGCCACAUUGGGACUGAGACACGGCCCAAACUCCUACGGGAGGCUGCAGUAGGGAAUCUUCCACAAUGGGCGAAAGCCUGAUGGAGCAACGCCGCGUGUGUGAUGAAGGCUUUAGGGUCGUAAAGCACUGUUGUAUGGGAAGAAAUGCUAGAAUAGGGAAUGAUUCUAGUUCGACGGUACCAUACCAGAAAGGGACGGCUAAAUACGUGCCAGCAGCCGCGGUAAUACGUAUGUCCCGAGCGUUAUCCGGAUUUAUUGGGCGUAAAGCGAGCGCAGACGGUUGAUUAAGUCUGAUGUGAAAGCCCGGAGCUCAACUCCGGAAUGGCAUUGGAAACUGGUUAACUUGAGUGUUGUAGAGGUAAGUGGAACUCCAUGUGUAGCGGUGGAAUGCGUAGAUAUAUGGAAGAACACCAGUGGCGAAGGCGGCUUACUGGACAACAACUGACGUUGAGGCUCGAAA